RNAcentral lists this ribosomal RNA (420 nucleotides) under uncultured bacterium. RNAcentral describes it as "bacterial SSU rRNA". It matches the Rfam family "Bacterial small subunit ribosomal RNA", at positions 356 to 773 of the family's 1533-position model. The record is from RNAcentral.
GAGGAAUAUUGGUCAAUGGGUGCAAGCCUGAACCAGCCAUCCCGCGUGAAGGACGACUGCCCUAUGGGUUGUAAACUUCUUUUGUAUAGGGAUAAACCUUUCCACGUGUGGAAAGCUGAAGGUACUAUACGAAUAAGCACCGGCUAACUCCGUGCCAGCAGCCGCGGUAAUACGGAGGGUGCAAGCGUUAUCCGGAUUUAUUGGGUUUAAAGGGUCCGUAGGCGGACUUAUAAGUCAGUGGUGAAAGCCUGUCGCUUAACGAUAGAACUGCCAUUGAUACUGUAAGUCUUGAGUAUAUUUGAGGUAGCUGGAAUAAGUAGUGUAGCGGUGAAAUGCAUAGAUAUUACUUAGAACACCAAUUGCGAAGGCAGGUUACCAAGAUAUAACUGACGCUGAGGGACGAAAGCGUGGGGAGCGAAC